This 1366-nucleotide ribosomal RNA is filed under the name Salmonella enterica subsp. enterica serovar Typhimurium. Its description in RNAcentral is "bacterial LSU rRNA". It matches the Rfam family "Bacterial large subunit ribosomal RNA", at positions 1223 to 2571 of the family's 2925-position model. The record is from RNAcentral. Lineage: Bacteria; Pseudomonadati; Pseudomonadota; Gammaproteobacteria; Enterobacterales; Enterobacteriaceae.
GUUGGGUAGGGGAGCGUUCUGUAAGCCUGUGAAGGUGUGUCGUGAGGCAUGCUGGAGGUAUCAGAAGUGCGAAUGCUGACAUAAGUAACGAUAAAGCGGGUGAAAAGCCCGCUCGCCGGAAGACCAAGGGUUCCUGUCCAACGUUAAUCGGGGCAGGGUGAGUCGACCCCUAAGGCGAGGCCGAAAGGCGUAGUCGAUGGGAAACGGGUUAAUAUUCCCGUACUUGGUGUUACUGCGAAGGGGGGACGGAGAAGGCUAUGUUGGCCGGGCGACGGUUGUCCCGGUUUAAGCGUGUAGGUGUGUGUUCCAGGUAAAUCCGGUUCACUUUAACACUGAGGCGUGACGACGAGGCACUACGGUGCUGAAGCAACAAAUGCCCUGCUUCCAGGAAAAGCCUCUAAGCAUCAGGUAACAUCAAAUCGUACCCCAAACCGACACAGGUGGUCAGGUAGAGAAUACCAAGGCGCUUGAGAGAACUCGGGUGAAGGAACUAGGCAAAAUGGUGCCGUAACUUCGGGAGAAGGCACGCUGACACGUAGGUGAAGUGAUUUACUCAUGGAGCUGAAGUCAGUCGAAGAUACCAGCUGGCUGCAACUGUUUAUUAAAAACACAGCACUGUGCAAACACGAAAGUGGACGUAUACGGUGUGACGCCUGCCCGGUGCCGGAAGGUUAAUUGAUGGGGUCAGCGCAAGCGAAGCUCCUGAUCGAAGCCCCGGUAAACGGCGGCCGUAACUAUAACGGUCCUAAGGUAGCGAAAUUCCUUGUCGGGUAAGUUCCGACCUGCACGAAUGGCGUAAUGAUGGCCAGGCUGUCUCCACCCGAGACUCAGUGAAAUUGAACUCGCUGUGAAGAUGCAGUGUACCCGCGGCAAGACGGAAAGACCCCGUGAACCUUUACUAUAGCUUGACACUGAACAUUGAGCCUUGAUGUGUAGGAUAGGUGGGAGGCUUUGAAGUGUGGACGCCAGUCUGCAUGGAGCCGACCUUGAAAUACCACCCUUUAAUGUUUGAUGUUCUAACGUGGACCCGUAAUCCGGGUUGCGGACAGUGUCUGGUGGGUAGUUUGACUGGGGCGGUCUCCUCCUAAAGAGUAACGGAGGAGCACGAAGGUUGGCUAAUCCUGGUCGGACAUCAGGAGGUUAGUGCAAUGGCAUAAGCCAGCUUGACUGCGAGCGUGACGGCGCGAGCAGGUGCGAAAGCAGGUCAUAGUGAUCCGGUGGUUCUGAAUGGAAGGGCCAUCGCUCAACGGAUAAAAGGUACUCCGGGGAUAACAGGCUGAUACCGCCCAAGAGUUCAUAUCGACGGCGGUGUUUGGCACCUCGAUGUCGGCUCAUCACAUCCUGGGGCUGAAGUAGGUCCCAAGGG